Non-coding RNA from Bos taurus (domestic cattle), 69 nucleotides. NCBI's taxonomy places the organism in Eukaryota, Metazoa, Chordata, Mammalia, Artiodactyla, Bovidae. The record is from Rfam.
CCUGGUGGCUCAGAGGGUAAAGAGUCUGCCUGCAAUGCAGGAGACCUGGGUUCGAUCCCUGGGUCAGGA